This 861-nucleotide long non-coding RNA is filed under the name Homo sapiens (human). Its description in RNAcentral is "non-protein coding lnc-EPHA4-6:1". The record is from RNAcentral. Lineage: Eukaryota; Metazoa; Chordata; Mammalia; Primates; Hominidae.
CUUUAUAAUAACAUGAUUUUUAUUCCUUUGGGUAUAUACCUACUAAUGGGAUUGCUGGGUCAAAUGGGAUUUCUGGUUCCAAACCUUUGAGGAAACACCAGGCUGUCUCCCACAAUGGUUGAACUAAUUUAUAUUCCCACCAACAGUGUAAAAGUGUUCCUAUUUCUCCACAAUCUUGCCAGCAUCUGUUGUUUCUCGACUUUUUAAUAAUCAACAUUCUGACUGGCAUGAGAUGGUAUAUCACUGUGGUUUUGAUUUGCAUUUCUCUAAUGAUCAGUGAUGUUGAGCUUUUUUUCAUAUAUUUAUUGGCUGCAUGUAUGCCUUUUUAUAUUACACUUUACUCUGUUGUCUAAGGACCUCUCUCACCAACCCUGUGAAAUCUUUAAAAAAAAAAAAAAAAAAAAGGUGCGUGAAAUACUGUGUGAAUGUACAGUUUUCUUAGAAUAGAAGGCUUUCCUCAGACUUGCUCAUGGUAUCAUGUAUGUUUCCUCCACUGAAAAUACAUAAUUAUUUGCAUGAUUUUUUAAAAAUAGUACCUCACUCCACACGAGACUGUAAGUUCCCUGAGGCAGAGACUGAUUCUUUUUUUUCUCACUAUGAUUUCUCCAGCAACUAGCAAACAUUAGGCAUACAGUAGGUACCUAAUAACACAAAUUGAUGGGAUGGGUGGACGAAUGGGUGGAUGGAUGGAUAAUUGAUUUACUAUCAGAGAGGUCAUUAGUGUCAGACUUAGAUUAAAGUGAAAAUAAGGCUAUGUCUCAUUUUACAUACAGAUAAGAGCAAAUACAUAUGGGUGAGAGAUUCCAAGACGUUAUUUACAGUAGCUACAUCCAGUGCCACAGUUCAGGUCUCCAGGUGUGC